Molecule: long non-coding RNA, 578 nt
Filed under: Numida meleagris (helmeted guineafowl)
Lineage: Eukaryota; Metazoa; Chordata; Aves; Galliformes; Numididae
Description: lncRNA (ENSNMEG00000017438.1)
Source: RNAcentral
UGUUGAUGGGAUCUGAGUUUAAUAGGCCACAAACACCAGUCCUUUAGAGCCUCCAGGCUCUAGAGGCUUUUAAAAUAUCAGUUUUCACUUGCUAAUAUGACAGCGACGUCACACUGAUGUAUCACAAGAUCCCCAAGGCCCCUGGACACCAAAUAUUUAACCCCAGGGGAGAUUUAAGCAUCUCCUACCUGUGACUGAUAAGCCCAGCUUCUGUGUAGGCCUUUGGUGCGCACAUGGUGACUCUUGGUUCCACAACCGUUUUGAUAACUGUAUAUUAACCGAGGAGGGAGUGAACAAGCAGAAAGCGAAGGCACACCUCUAAAUACAUGAUAUUUAAGGUUUGUGGCAGAAAGUUUGUUUCAUGCCUGCACGGAGAGUUUCAACCUCCUGACUCAAAAAGGACAAAGAUUUCUUCAUCACCGAAGCCCAAAUCUAUGAAGACAACUACCAUGUAGUUUCACACUGUCUUCAUGUGAUUUCCCUAGAGUUAAGAAUGGACUUAAGUUCCUAAUACUUGGUAGAGCUGGGUUUUUGUCUCAUAUAUUAUUCAGUCAGCAUAAUAAAGAAUAAACCACAGA